UUUUUUUUUUUUUUGGGUAAACUUCAAAUACCACAACGUAGUUUCACACUUUCUUAAUUUAGUUCCCUAUGAUUUAAAGGGUAUUAAAUUAGUAUCUUGUUAUUUCAUUUUUAUUUUUUCGCCAGCUUUUUCGUUAAUAUUUUGUUAAAUUAUAUACAAAAAAUUUUAGAUACCCUACCUAGGCUUAUCAAAUAUUCACUUUAGUACCCCUUAGUUUUAACUUUGUCACUGAUUUAACGAAAAAAAUUAAUAAAAUCAAUAAUAAAAAGAUAAAAAUGAAACCACAGGACACUAAAUUAAUACACGUUAAACCAUAACGUACUAAAGUCAGAAAGUAUGAAGUGGCAUUUGAAGUUUUUUAUUAUUAUUAUUAUUAUCAUUAUUGUUAUUAUUAUUGUUAUUAGUAUUAUUAGUAUAUUUGGGAGGUGUGGAGUGUGUGGAGGGGACAUGCUAUGAA
Molecule: long non-coding RNA, 457 nt
Filed under: Ananas comosus (pineapple)
Lineage: Eukaryota; Viridiplantae; Streptophyta; Magnoliopsida; Poales; Bromeliaceae
Description: long non-coding RNA (ACOM_LNC033680)
Source: RNAcentral